RNAcentral lists this ribosomal RNA (1450 nucleotides) under uncultured bacterium. RNAcentral's name for it is "bacterial SSU rRNA". It matches the Rfam family "Bacterial small subunit ribosomal RNA". The record is from RNAcentral.
GGGGCCGGAUGCCUUACACAUGCAAGUCGAACGGCAGCAUACAAGAGCUUGCUCUCUGAUGGCAAGUGUGCGAACGGGUGAGUAAUAUGUCGGAACGUGCCUAGUAAUGGGGAAUAACUAUCUGAAAGGUUAGCUAAUGCCGCAUACAACCUACGGGUGAAAGCAAGGGAUCUUCUGACCUUGCGUUAUUACAGCGGCCGAUAUCUGAUUAUCUUGUUGGUGGGGUAAUGGCCUACCAAGGCGACAAUAACUAUCUGGUCUGAGAGGACAAUCACCCACACUGGAACUGAGACACGGUCCACACUCCUACGGGAGGCAGCAGUGGGGAAUUUUGGACAAUGGGGGCAACCCUGAUCCAGCCAUUCCGCGUGAGUGAAGAAGGCCUUCGGGUUGUAAAGCUCUUUCGCAAGAGAAGAAAACUUGCUAUCUAAUAAAUAUUAGGUAUGACGGUAUCUUGACAAAAAACACCGGCUAACUACGUGCCACCAGCCGCGGUAAUACAUAGGGUGCAAGCGUUAAUCCGAAUUACUGGGCGUAAAGCGUGCGCAGGCAGUUUUAUAAGUCAGAUGUGAAAUCCCCGAGCUCAACUUGGGAACUGCGUUUGAAACUAUAAGACUAGAGUGUGUCAGAGGGGGGUAGAAUUCCAAGUGUAGCAGUGAAAUGCGUAUAGAUUUGGAGGAAUACCAAUGGCGAAGGCAGCCCCCUGGGAUAACACUGACGCUCAUGCGCGAAAGCGUGGGAGCAAACAGGAUUAGAUACCCCGGUAGUCCACGCCCUAAACGAUGUCUACUAGUUGUGGGUGGAGUAAAAUCCAUGAGUAACGCAGCUAACGCGUGAAGUAGACCGCCUGGGGAGUACGGUCGCAAGAUUAAAACUCAAAUGAAUUGACGGGGGCCCGCACAAGCGGUGGAUUAUGUGGAUUAAUUCGAUGCAACGCGAAAAACCUUACCUGGCCUUGACAUGUCCCGAAUUUAGCAGAGAUGCUUUAGUGCUCGAAAGAGAACGGUAACCCAGGUGCUGCAUGGCGGUCGUCAGCUCGUGUCGUGAGAUGUUGGGUUAAGUCCCGCAACGAGCGCAACCCUUGCCAUUAAUUCCCAUCAUCUAGCUGGGCACUCUAAUGGGACUGCCGGUGACAAACCGGAGGAAGGUGGGGAUGACGUCAAGUCCUCAUGGCCCUUAUGGCCAGGGCUUCACACGUAAUACAAUGGUCCGUACAGAGGGAAGCCACCCCGCGAGGGCGAGCCAAUCUCAGAAAGCCGGUCGUAGUCCGGAUUGUUGUCUGCAACUCGACAGCAUGAAGUCGGAAUCGCUAGUAAUCGCGGAUCAGCAUGUCGCGGUGAAUACGUUCCCGGGCCUUGUACACACCGCCCGUCACACCAUGGGAGUGGGUUUUACCAGGAAGUAGUUAGUCUAUCCGCUAAGGGCGAGCGACUACGCAACGGUACGAUUC